CUGGGCCGAGAGCAGCUCUGAAGCUCCAGAGAGCCACCCCGUCAGGUUUCUUGUGGAAGCUCCUGUCAUCCGUGCUGCAGCAGGCCGAGCACUGCAUGUUUGCCACAUGCUGCCCGUGACAGCACAUCAAGCCACAGCGUUUGUAGACAGGACAGAGGGGUGCCCGCCCCCUGCCCCUGCUGGCACAGCAGUUCCCAGGCCCUUGGGCAGGCUGGGGUGGCGGCAGAGGCCACAGCACCAGCUCUGACAAGUCCCGUCAUCCUCUGCUCAGCAGUGACCUCCCUGGCCCCACUUUGCCCAGAGUUUGGGGUCCCUCCAGGUAUAGCUCUAGGCAGCAGUGCCUAUCUCUGGCCUGCCUUGAUUUCAACCACACCCCUGUAGCCCUGCACCCCACCUCUGGGGCAUGCAGAGGUUUGUGUCUCCAAGGAACCCACAGCUGGAGAGAAAUAGGAAGAUGCAGGAAGUAGGGUCCAUGGGGCUCCUAGGAAGCAGACUCUCCAAGGGGUACCCCCACCCCACUACCUUCCCCACAGACGGGCCCCUCCCAAAGCCCACACCCUCCUGUGAGACCAUUCCAGUGUCUUCUAGAAAGACUUGCUUGCCAGGAGUGCAUUCUUUGUUGAAAAAUGCCCUAAGGCGAAAAGAUGCAGGUUUAUAUGGAACCCCCCACCCCCAUCCCCACUCUUCCCCACUCUGUUCGUUCUGAAUGUCUUCAUGAGUGUGUGUCAGAGCGCCCGGCUGCCUCACCGCAACCAGUGAGUCAGACACAGGUUUCCCAGCCAUGUUUCCUGGCUUCGAGGACACGGGUGGCAGGCCCCUUGCUGCCCAGGGCCACUGGUCCCUGCAGGGCGCUGCCUCACCAGCAGGAAGGAGGAAGGCUGUGGCCGCAGCCUGACGGGGAGGCGGCCUCCCGCUGUGUGAGUGCAGGAGUCCGCCAGAGCCACCUGGGCCUCUGAAGGGCCUUCUACUGGAAAUACCCUCACUGCCAAGUGGAGACUGCGGCGUGUGCCACAUUGCCAGCCACCAGGAAAGCGUUUCUUUUUCUUUUCUUUUUUUUUUUUUUAAACACCAAGAGCACAUAUAGCACGGGGGAGAGAACCUGAAUGUCUGUUCUGUGAGCUGGUGAAAAACCCAGCGUGAGAACGCAGUGUCAGGCCCCUUCUGCCCGUGCAGUGGGUGUUACGGGCGGUGUGCCCUGGCGAGCAAGCUUUGAUUCUUGGUUCUUUGAAGCUCGUUUCAGAGGCUGAGUCCCCACAUCAGCUUUAGUUCUUGGACUUCCCUAUAUUAAGCAAGAAUUAGGAGAAUGGCGGUCCCCGCAGGCGCCUCCUGUAAAUCCUGAGCUCUCUGGCGCAAUCCGAAACUUCUCUUGUUUUCUUUGGCUGUAUCGGCCGAGCCAGGAGAGGCCUGGGCUGUGACUAAGGAGAAAGACAUCAGGGGUUUCUGAGAGCAGACGGUGGCUUUGUGGGUGCAGGGCUUUUGUGGAAAUUGUCAGCCUCUAUGGGAAGUGUCCGGCAUCCCCUCCCCAGACUGCCUGCUGUCACCACAGAGCUGCUGGAGCCUGCCUUGCCCACGGCCCAUUUCCACCCGGGCAUGUUCGUCUCUCACGACUUGGGCAGAGGCCCCCGGUGGUCCUGAGUUUCAGUUUCUCAUCCAGGAAGGUAACCAUGGGCAUUGGCAGUGGGUUUCCAUAUGGCUUGGAUCCAAAUUAGAGUUGAUCUUUGUUUUCACUUUCCAUAGUUAAUAACAUGCAAAAUAAUGAGAAGAAUUUACUUUAAGGUGAGAGCUGUAUUGGUCCAACAUUGCCUGCUUAUUGCCAGGGUACAGAAUUUUAAUACUUUCUUAAUCUAGUUUUUCAAACUUCUCCUUGUAGACCAUAAGGAUGAAUUCCACGAUAGGAUCCUUUUUCAAAUCUAUUUUAAAUGGUUGUCUGGUCCUGCCGAGGUUAUUAUCUGCAUCUGCUAUUUUUUCAAUACACGUAAACAGGUACAGCGUGAUGCUUCGUUUCAUGUCCUGUUCUUAAGCUCGUUAGAGCCAGUUUUGAAACGUUUGGUCUUACGUGGACGGAGGCCGGCUUGGCUUAGCCGUGCUGAUGAGUAGGUGAGGGACGUCUCCAUCUUGAGGUCACCAGGCAAGAGAGUUGCCUGCACCAGGUGGGAGGCCAAGCCCCUGGGGUGACAGUCCCCACCGCCACCUGAGGUAAGAAAAUAAAAACGAUGUGGUUGCGCUCAGGCCUCUGUCAUGCCUGGUGUCAGAGAAGGCAGAGCCCACAGUAGGGUGCAGGGUACAAGGCCCUGGGAGGGCGCCGGCCAGGGAAGGUGGUAUAGAUGGCCCUCAGAUUGCUGGGCCCCGAGCAGCUCCCCGCCCUGCCCAUCCACCUGCCCUGGCUCCAGCCUCGUUCUCUCUUUAGUUUAACUGUGAAAAGAGGAGGUUGAGAGUGUUCUGGUGACUGGAGCUCUUCUCCUUGUCUUUCCUGCCUUCCGACGGGGCCACCUGUGUCGGGGCAGCAGGGUCCAUGUUUAUGCAGAUUGGAGGUGCCCCUACCGUGUGACCGCACUGUACUGUGCUGCCCGGGUAGCCAGGAAUCUCUCCGUCUCUCCCCUGCCACCCGCCUGGUCUCAUGGGCCUCCUUCAUACACUGCUUCCUGUGGAUUGCCUGCCUGGGCCCAGAGCAGGGGAACUGGAGUUUAUGAGUGAGCAGAGCGUGUUAUGUGCAGACAGGGAAACGAGAACUUUGAACCUGGCUUUCUGAGGCCAGGGGAGAGCUGCGUGGCCCCCGACACCACUCUGCCGCCAGAGGGAUGUGCCUGCUGAGCCUUUUCCUUCCACACCGCCCCUGGCUGCCGGGCCAGCGGCUUCCACUGAGACUCCCUGGAGAGCCGGCUCCCGUGUCCAUCCACCGAGCACUCAGACGGAUGCUGAUGACCAGGCCGAGGGGGAGCCCAGAAGGACCCCAGGCCCUGGGUAGGGUGGCUCUGGGAGGCCAAGUCCACUGUCCGGAAGUCUGUCAGCCCUAAGCCAGGGAAGACUGGAGCUUGGCCUGGCGGGUCUGGGUGGACGCCGCUCCCCCUCCGGACUCCCUGCACAGGGGAGGAGGCCUGAGCCUCUGUGGCCCUGUAGCCGUGGGCAGAGCUGGGCCUGUCCUGUGUUCCUGCCUGGCAGGUGCAGGUGCUGGCCGUUUCAGGCGGAAGGAGGUGGGAAUCUUGGAUUUUUUUCUUUUUUUGAGAUGGAGUCUUGCUCUAACACCCAGCCUGGAGUACAGUGGUGCGAUCUCGGCUCACGGCAACCUCCGCUUCCCAGGUUCAAGUGAUUCUCCUGCCCCAGCCUCGCGAGUAGCUGGGAUUACAGGCGCACGCCACCACGCUUAACUGAUUUUUGUAUUUUUAGUAGAGAUGGGGUUUCACCAUGUUGGCCAAGCUGGUCUCGAACUCCUGACCUCAGGUGAUCCACCCAACUCGGCCUCCCAAAGUGCUGGGAUUACAGGCGUGAGCCACCGCACCCGGCAGAAUCUUGGAAUUUUUAUAGAUAGCACCUCAGUUUCUGACUCCAGCUGCGUACUUCCUGCCUCUACCAGCAGGGGUUGCCACCAGGCCAGAGCCAGGGCCGGGUCCCUGCGUCCAUCCCCCCGGUAGGAUGGACAUGAGCCAUCCUUCUAGGGGACUUUUUUCAGUGUGCGACUCCUCUCUGUUAGGUGGGAGGAGCCGGUGUGUGUGGCCUGUGCCAUGCUCAGCAGUGCGUGGCUGGGCUGUGUGUGUGUCCCCUGUUCCUGCAGGGCCCAGCAGGCAUCGUAGCGUGGCAGCUGUGUCCGAGCCACUGCCCGGGCAUCCCACGACCCGCCAGGGUGCACGGUCACUCCCGCUGGGGGCUUUCUGUCGCAUGUGUGUCUCCUGUCGACUCUGCACUUCGUUCUCAGAGCAGAAUGUUUCCUGUUCUCAGUGCGUGAAGACACUGGUUUUCGAUCUGCGUCUAGAACCACUUUCCUGCCUUUCAUUGUAACACAGUGUGUUCAUUUGUUUAAAACAGAGUUUAAUGAGUAAUUUAGAUCUGACUGGUCAAUAUCUUAAAACUUUAUAUUAAUAAAAAGUUCUUCCUGGAAUUUUUCUUUCAAUUCUGGCAGAAUAAACAGGUGUUUUUAAGUUUUCCCACCGUCUGAGCCAAGCAGGACCCUGUCCCCGAGCAAGAGAUGUCCCCUCCAUCCCUGACCCCCUGCCUGGGACAAGCCUUGUUGGGGGCCCCCAGCUUCAGGGCUGUGGUGGGAACAGCACCCGCAAAUGCCAGCCUCUCCUUUCUUCCCAUCCACCAGUUCACUACAAGGCCAUUUCUGGUCCUUAUGCAACAGGAAGCCCAUUUCUGAUGGGAUGUGCCUUCCAGUGCCACAGGGCCACUGACCCCACGCAUCUCUGUCCUGUCCAUCAGUGCUGGGAUGGACAGCAAGGGCGAGCCCAGUGUCUGGCAGAUAGGUGGGUGGGAACGGAGAGGGGAGAAUGCCAUCCUAAGCCUGUGUUUGGGGAGCCCCCACACAGCCUGGGUACUGCCUGGGAAACCUGUCCUAAGUAAAACAUGGGCCUGGCCUCGCCCACCGGCCUGCGAAGCCAGCGUCUCCGUGAAGGUGGAUGGAAGCACCUUUGUCCUCAUUUUGAGCUGCAAGCUGGGUCAGCGGCUUCUGAAGCCCUCAAGUGACUUUCUUUUUUUUUUCUUUUUUGAGACGGAGUCUAGCUCUGUUGCCCAGGCUGGAGUGCAGUGGC
Molecule: RNA transcript, 4742 nt
Organism: Cercocebus atys (sooty mangabey)
Lineage: Eukaryota; Metazoa; Chordata; Mammalia; Primates; Cercopithecidae
Exons: 1
Source: RefSeq, a predicted model, not a curated record